CGAGGUGUAGCGCAGUUUGGUAGCGCACAUCGUUCGGGACGAUGGAGUCGCAAGUUCGAAUCUUGUCACCUCGACCA
RNAcentral lists this transfer RNA (77 nucleotides) under Ruminococcus sp. RNAcentral describes it as "tRNA-Pro". It matches the Rfam family "tRNA". Rfam says of the family: Transfer RNA (tRNA) molecules are approximately 80 nucleotides in length. Their secondary structure includes four short double-helical elements and three loops (D, anti-codon, and T loops). Further hydrogen bonds mediate the characteristic L-shaped molecular structure. tRNAs have two regions of fundamental functional importance: the anti-codon, which is responsible for specific mRNA codon recognition, and the 3' end, to which the tRNAs corresponding amino acid is attached (by aminoacyl-tRNA synthetases). tRNAs cope with the degeneracy of the genetic code in two manners: having more than one tRNA (with a specific anti-codon) for a particular amino acid; and 'wobble' base-pairing, i.e. permitting non-standard base-pairing at the 3rd anti-codon position. RNAcentral also lists the same sequence under 5 other names. Lineage: Bacteria; Bacillati; Bacillota; Clostridia; Eubacteriales; Oscillospiraceae. The record is from RNAcentral.